Molecule: ribosomal RNA, 496 nt
Filed under: uncultured bacterium
Lineage: Bacteria
Description: partial 16S ribosomal RNA
Rfam family: Bacterial small subunit ribosomal RNA
Source: RNAcentral
AUGCACGCUGGCGGCGUGCCUAAUACAUGCAAGUCGAGCGAACAGAUGAGGAGCUUGCUCCUCUGACGUUAGCGGCGGACGGGUGAGUAACACGUGGAUAACCUACCUAUAAGACUGGGAUAACUUCGGGAAACCGGAGCUAAUACCGGAUAAUAUAUUGAACCGCAUGGUUCAAUAGUGAAAGACGGUUUUGCUGUCACUUAUAGAUGGAUCCGCGCCGCAUUAGCUAGUUGGUAAGGUAACGGCUUACCAAGGCAACGAUGCGUAGCCGACCUGAGAGGGUGAUCGGCCACACUGGAACUGAGACACGGUCCAGACUCCUACGGGAGGCAGCAGUAGGGAAUCUUCCGCAAUGGGCGAAAGCUUGACGGAGCAACGCCGCGUGAGUGAUGAAGGUCUUCGGAUCGUAAAACUCUGUUAUUAGGGAAGAACAAAUGUGUAAGUAACUAUGCACGUCUUGACGGUACCUAAUCAGAAAGCCACGGCUAACUACGUG